This 158-nucleotide ribosomal RNA is filed under the name Didymocarpus biserratus. RNAcentral's name for it is "5.8S ribosomal RNA". It matches the Rfam family "5.8S ribosomal RNA". Rfam says of the family: 5.8S ribosomal RNA (5.8S rRNA) is a component of the large subunit of the eukaryotic ribosome. It is transcribed by RNA polymerase I as part of the 45S precursor that also contains 18S and 28S rRNA. The record is from RNAcentral. Lineage: Eukaryota; Viridiplantae; Streptophyta; Magnoliopsida; Lamiales; Gesneriaceae.
ACUCUCGGCAACGGAUAUCUCGGCUCUCGCAUCGAUGAAGAACGUAGCGAAAUGCGAUACUUGGUGUGAAUUGCAGAAUCCCGUGAACCAUCGAGUUUUUGAACGCAAGUUGCGCCCGAAACCAUCAGGUUGAGGGCACGUCUGCCUGGGCGUCACGA